GACGAACGCUGGCGGCGUGCCUAAUACAUGCAAGUAGAACGCUGAAGAGAGGAGCUUGCUCUUCUUGGAUGAGUUGCGAACGGGUGAGUAACGCGUAGGUAACCUGCCUUGUAGCGGGGGAUAACUAUUGGAAACGAUAGCUAAUACCGCAUAACAAUGGAUGACACAUGUCAUUUAUUUGAAAGGGGCAAUUGCUCCACUACAAGAUGGACCUGCGUUGUAUCAGCUAGUAGGUGAGGUAAUGGCUCACCUAGGCGACGAUACAUAGCCGACCUGAGAGGGUGAUCGGCCACACUGGGACUGAGACACGGCCCAGACUCCUACGGGAGGCAGCAGUAGGGAAUCUUCGGCAAUGGGGGCAACCCUGACCGAGCAACGCCGCGUGAGUGAAGAAGGUUUUCGGAUCGUAAAGUUCUGUUGUAAGUCAAGAACGGGUGUGAGAGUGGAAAGUUCACACUGUGACGGUAGCUUACCAGAAAGGGGCGGCUAACUACGUG
Molecule: ribosomal RNA, 497 nt
Filed under: uncultured bacterium
Lineage: Bacteria
Description: partial 16S ribosomal RNA
Rfam family: Bacterial small subunit ribosomal RNA
Source: RNAcentral